Molecule: ribosomal RNA, 253 nt
Filed under: uncultured bacterium
Lineage: Bacteria
Description: partial 16S ribosomal RNA
Rfam family: Bacterial small subunit ribosomal RNA
Source: RNAcentral
UACGGAGGGUGCAAGCGUUAUCCGGAUUCACUGGGUUUAAAGGGUGCGUAGGUGGGCAGGUAAGUCAGUGGUGAAAUCCCCGAGCUUAACUUGGGAACUGCCAUUGAUACCAUUUGUCUUGAAUACUGUGGAGGUUAGCGGAAUAUGUCAUGUAGCGGUGAAAUGCUUAGAUAUGACAUAGAACAUCAAUUGCGAAGGCAGCUGGCUACACAAAUAUUGACACUGAUGCACGAAAGCGUGGGGAUCAAACAGG